AGAGUUUGAUCCUGGCUCAGAUUGAACGCUGGCGGCAGGCUUAACACAUGCAAGUCGAGCGGAGAUGAGGUGCUUGCACCUUAUCUUAGCGGCGGACGGGUGAGUAAUGCUUAGGAAUCUGCCUAUUAGUGGGGGACAACAUUUCGAAAGGAAUGCUAAUACCGCAUACGUCCUACGGGAGAAAGCAGGGGAUCUUCGGACCUUGCGCUAAUAGAUGAGCCUAAGUCGGAUUAGCUAGUUGGUGGGGUAAAGGCCUACCAAGGCGACGAACUGUAGCGGGUCUGAGAGGAUGAUCCGCCACACUGGGACUGAGACACGGCCCAGACUCCUACGGGAGGCAGCAGUGGGGAAUAUUGGACAAUGGGGGGAACCCUGAUCCAGCCAUGCCGCGUGUGUGAAGAAGGCCUUAUGGUUGUAAAGCACUUUAAGCGAGGAGGAGGCUACUGAGACUAAUACUCUUGGAUAGUGGACGUUACUCGCAGAAUAAGCACCGGCUAACUCUGUGCCAGCAGCCGCGGUAAUACAGAGGGUGCGAGCGUUAAUCGGAUUUACUGGGCGUAAAGCGUGCGUAGGCGGCUUUUUAAGUCGGAUGUGAAAUCCCCGAGCUUAACUUGGGAAUUGCAUUCGAUACUGGGAAGCUAGAGUAUGGGAGAGGAUGGUGGAAUUCCAGGUGUAGCGGUGAAAUGCGUAGAGAUCUGGAGGAAUACCGAUGGCGAAGGCAGCCAUCUGGCCUAAUACUGACGCUGAGGUACGAAAGCAUGGGGAGCAAACAGGAUUAGAUACCCUGGUAGUCCAUGCCGUAAACGAUGUCUACUAGCCGUUGGGGCCUUUGAGGUUUUAGUGGCGCAGCUAACGCGAUAAGUAGACCGCCUGGGGAGUACGGUCGCAAGACUAAAACUCAAAGG
RNAcentral lists this ribosomal RNA (905 nucleotides) under uncultured bacterium. RNAcentral's name for it is "bacterial SSU rRNA". It matches the Rfam family "Bacterial small subunit ribosomal RNA", at positions 8 to 907 of the family's 1533-position model. The record is from RNAcentral.